Alligator mississippiensis (American alligator) is the source of this 657-nucleotide long non-coding RNA. RefSeq lists it as uncharacterized. The record is from RefSeq and is a predicted model, not a curated record. The transcript is spliced from 3 exons. Lineage: Eukaryota; Metazoa; Chordata; Crocodylia; Alligatoridae.
CACCGCAGCUCCGUCUCUCUGCGGAUCUCAAGCUGCGUAGCCAAGGCAGCCUGGCCACAGCCCUCUCCCCUUCCCCUUCCACACAGACACACGAGCAGACAAAGCCACACGCACCGGGGCGUGUCGGGCUAGUACGGACACACAGUGAACUUCUGAAUCUACCGCGUGGCUCAGUCCUUGCUGACAACCUUUUCUCGUGGAAAGGCGAACUUGGGGAAAGGAACUGGGAAUAAGGCACUGGAAACUGCGACCAACACGGCUACCAAGUACACCCCUGAAACAUGGAAGAUGCCGAAUUUCAGCUGAUUUUGGAUUUUAAACUUUACUGCAGAACUACAAGGAAGUUUUUUUACCUUCCUGCCUCCCAUCUGACACCUUCAGGGAAGGACUUCUACCAGAUCAACACAUCAAAGAGCUACUCAACACAGCUCACAAAGACACUCUCAUGGACCCAGAGGGACAGACUUCCAUCUUCAGCUCCCUCUGUGCAAAAAUGAAAUUUAUUUCCUACCUAUGGGGACUUUUUACCAUCUUGUACCAUCUACACUUUUCCCAGAGCCUGACAAAGGGACUUUGAUCCCGAAAGCUUGCAGAAAAGGACAAUUUUCUUGCCAUUUUCCAGUUGGUCUAAUAAAAGGUAUAAUUUUGGAACCAAAA